Molecule: ribosomal RNA, 20 nt
Filed under: uncultured fungus
Lineage: Eukaryota; Fungi
Description: partial 25S ribosomal RNA
Source: RNAcentral
UACCCGCUGAACUUAAGCAU